GCAUUCGAGGGUAAUCUAGUGGUGACAUCUGUCAUCCCAAUGAUAGCCAGGGUUGACUCAGCUGAUCUGGCUGGGUAGGCGAGUGUCCCCUUCCUGCCUCUCUGCUACAUGUGCUUCCCUCCUGGAAGCUGCAUGCUCAGUUAAAGAGAGCAACCAACCUGGACAGAGGAGGACUGGUCAAGGGUGUACCAACAGCUGAACUCCCCUGCUGGGGACUACAAACAAGCCCUCAAAGUGGCUGCAUCAUUUCUACUUUCUCACUUAUAAGAAUUCUAAUUUCUCUGCUCUUU
Molecule: non-coding RNA, 290 nt
Organism: Cavia porcellus (domestic guinea pig)
Lineage: Eukaryota; Metazoa; Chordata; Mammalia; Rodentia; Caviidae
Source: Rfam